RNAcentral lists this transfer RNA (77 nucleotides) under Acinetobacter pittii. RNAcentral describes it as "tRNA-Met". It matches the Rfam family "tRNA". From Rfam's summary of the family: Transfer RNA (tRNA) molecules are approximately 80 nucleotides in length. Their secondary structure includes four short double-helical elements and three loops (D, anti-codon, and T loops). Lineage: Bacteria; Pseudomonadati; Pseudomonadota; Gammaproteobacteria; Moraxellales; Moraxellaceae. The record is from RNAcentral.
UGCGGGAUGGAGCAGUCUGNNAGCUCGUCGGGCUCAUAACCCGAAGGUCGUUGGUUCAAAUCCAGCUCCCGCUACCA